AACGAACGCUGGCGGCAUGCCUAACACAUGCAAGUCGAACGAGACCUUCGGGUCUAGUGGCGCACGGGUGCGUAACGCGUGGGAACCUGCCCUUAGGUUCGGAAUAACUCCCCGAAAGGGGUGCUAAUACCGGAUAAUGUCUUCGGACCAAAGAUUUAUCGCCUUUGGAUGGGCCCGCGUUGGAUUAGCUAGUUGGUAGGGUAAAAGCCUACCAAGGCGAAGAUCCAUAGCUGGUCUGAGAGGAUGAUCAGCCACACUGGGACUGAGACACGGCCCAGACUCCUACGGGAGGCAGCAGUGGGGAAUAUUGGACAAUGGGCGAAAGCCUGAUCCAGCAAUGCCGCGUGAGUGAUGAAGGCCUUAGGGUUGUAAAGCUCUCUUACCCGGGAUGAUAAUGACAGUACCGGGAGAAUAAGCUCCGGCUAACUCCGUG
RNAcentral lists this ribosomal RNA (433 nucleotides) under uncultured bacterium. RNAcentral describes it as "partial 16S ribosomal RNA". It matches the Rfam family "Bacterial small subunit ribosomal RNA", at positions 29 to 507 of the family's 1533-position model. The record is from RNAcentral.